CGGGUACGGGGACCGUGUCAGGCGGGCAGUUUGACUGGGGCGGUCGCCUCCUAAAGAGUAACGGAGGCGUCCCAAGGUUCCCUCAGAAUGGUUGGAAAUCAUUCGAAGAGUGCAAAGGCAGAAGGGAGCUUGACUGCGAGACCUACAAGUCGAGCAGGGACGAAAGUCGGGCUUAGUGAUCCGGUGGUACCGCAUGGAAGGGCCAUCGCUCAACGGAUAAAAGCUACCCUGGGGAUAACAGGCUUAUCUCCCCCAAGAGUCCACAUCGACGGGGAGGUUUGGCACCUCGAUGUCGGCUCAUCGCAUCCUGGGGCUGAAGUAGGUCCCAAGGGUUGGGCUGUUCGCCCAUUAAAGCGGUACGCGAGCUGGGUUCAGAACGUCGUGAGACAGUUCGGUCCCUAUCUGUCGUGGGCGCAGGAAAUUUGAGAGGAGCUGUCCUUAGUACGAGAGGACCGGGAUGGACGUACCGCUGGUGCACCAGUUGUUCCGCCAGGAGCAC
RNAcentral lists this ribosomal RNA (499 nucleotides) under Paenibacillus sp. CGMCC 1.18879. RNAcentral describes it as "partial 23S ribosomal RNA". It matches the Rfam family "Bacterial large subunit ribosomal RNA", at positions 2240 to 2738 of the family's 2925-position model. The record is from RNAcentral. Lineage: Bacteria; Bacillati; Bacillota; Bacilli; Caryophanales; Paenibacillaceae.